AGAAGAGAAAUCUGAUCUUGCUGAAACAUCUAGCCGAUAUUGCUCGCAGUAAAAGAAUUGAUGAUGGGAAUGCAAGGAAAAUGAACUUGAAGGAUUUCUACCUUCAGAUACUUGUAAACCCCAGGCUCCGUAGAAAAGUUCAAGUUGCACCGAUCCAAGGUCAUGAAAUUUAACUGAAAUAUGGUUUUUCCCAAUAUUUGUAAUAAGUGACAUGGAUAAAUUUAGAUAUUGAUUUAUCAGUUUUCUAACUUAUGUAGUACAAGCUGAAGUGCCCCGGCGUUGCCUGUGGAAUAAAAUUUUUUUUAAAUUACUUUUUUUGAUUUUUUUAAGCUUAUGUAGCGAGUGUCACCCCCUGGCUACCCAUGGGUUUACUCAAAAAAUGCCAGCCCAUUCGGUCCAACCGUCUGGCAGGCUAUAGGGAAAAGAAAAACAAAUGUCUUGUUUUACUAAAUAGAUAUAUAUAUAUAUGAGCAAUUUGUAAAGGAAAGAUUUUCUAAAAAUCAUUUUUGAAUUGUAACAAAGCUCUAAUUAUUUAAUUGUAACUGUAACUUUAUUUAACCCUUUUGUAAUUGAUGACUCAAUGACCAAUAAAAUUACAAAUCUUUUUA
Eurytemora carolleeae is the source of this 608-nucleotide long non-coding RNA. RefSeq lists it as uncharacterized. Lineage: Eukaryota; Metazoa; Arthropoda; Copepoda; Calanoida; Temoridae. The transcript has 3 exons. The record is from RefSeq and is a predicted model, not a curated record.